Molecule: long non-coding RNA, 253 nt
Filed under: Ananas comosus (pineapple)
Lineage: Eukaryota; Viridiplantae; Streptophyta; Magnoliopsida; Poales; Bromeliaceae
Description: long non-coding RNA (ACOM_LNC044105)
Source: RNAcentral
AGUCCGGCUACUAUACUCUUAUGAGUAUAGAGCCCCUUGUACUCAUAAAUUUUUGACCGUUAGUUCUACCCUUUAAUCAUUUUUACCCGUUAAAUUAUACUAUUCAACCAACUACCCACUCAACCCUACGGGCCUCACUAUCAACCUAACCUUAACCACUCUCAUCCUUACCGCACAUUUUUUCAUCCGAACGGCCAAAAACUUAUGAAUACAAAGGGCUCUAUACUCAUAUUAGUAUAGUAGCCCCAACCUA